GAUGAACGCUGGCGGCGUGCCUAAUACAUGCAAGUCGAGCGAACGGACGAGAAGCUUGCUUCUCUGAUGUUAGCGGCGGACGGGUGAGUAACACGUGGAUAACCUACCUAUAAGACUGGUAUAACUUCGGGAAACCGGAGCUAAUACCGGAUAAUAUUUUGAACCGCAUGGUUCGAAAGUGAAAGACGGUCUUUCUGUCACUUAUAGAUGGAUCCGCGCUGCAUUAGCUAGUUGGUAAGGUAACGGCUUACCAAGGCAACGAUGCAUAGCCGACCUGAGAGGGGGAUCGGCCACACUGGAACGGAGACACGGUCCAGACUCCUACGGGAGGCAGCAGUAGGGAAUCUUCCGCAAUGGGCGAAAGCCUGACGGAGCAACGCCGCGUGAGUGAUGAAGGUCUUCGGAUCGUAAAACUCUGUUAUUAGGGAAGAACAUAUGUGUAAGUAACUGUGCACAUCUUGACGGUACCUAAUCAGAAAGCAACGGCUAACUACGUG
This 497-nucleotide ribosomal RNA is filed under the name uncultured bacterium. RNAcentral describes it as "partial 16S ribosomal RNA". It matches the Rfam family "Bacterial small subunit ribosomal RNA", at positions 28 to 507 of the family's 1533-position model. The record is from RNAcentral.